AACGUAGGGGGCGAGCGUUGUCCGGAAUGACUGGGCGUAAAGGGCGAGUAGGUGGUAUAACAAGUCAGAAGUGAAAACUCCGGGCUCAACUUGGAGACUGCUUCUGAAACUGUUAAACUUGAGUGCAGGAGAGGGAAGUGGAAUUCCUAGUGUAGCGGUGAAAUGCGUAGAUAUUAGGAGGAACACCAGUGGCGAAGGCGACUUCCUGGCCUGUAACUGACACUGAGGCGCGAAAGCGUGGGGAGCGAACAGGAUUAGAUACCAGCGUAGUCC
RNAcentral lists this ribosomal RNA (273 nucleotides) under uncultured bacterium. RNAcentral's name for it is "partial 16S ribosomal RNA". It matches the Rfam family "Bacterial small subunit ribosomal RNA", at positions 524 to 796 of the family's 1533-position model. The record is from RNAcentral.